This 317-nucleotide ribosomal RNA is filed under the name uncultured bacterium. RNAcentral's name for it is "bacterial SSU rRNA". It matches the Rfam family "Bacterial small subunit ribosomal RNA", at positions 163 to 507 of the family's 1533-position model. The record is from RNAcentral.
CUAAUACUUCAUAAUAUCCAUCUCGUAUGGAUUAAAGCUUUAUGCGCUUUGGGAGGGGCCUGCGUAACAUUAGCUUGUUGGUGAGGUAAAAGCUCACCAAGGCUCCGAUGUUUAACUGGUUUGAGAGGAUGACCAGUCACACUGGGACUGAGAUACGGCCCAGACUCCUACGGGAGGCAGCAGUAAGGAAUCUUCCACAAUGGGGCAACCCUGAUGGAGCAAUACCGCGUGCAGGAUGAAGCGUUUCGGCGUGUAAACUGCUUUUAUCACCGAAGAUUAUGACUGUAGGUGAAGAAUAAGGACCGGCUAACUACGUG